This 431-nucleotide ribosomal RNA is filed under the name uncultured bacterium. Its description in RNAcentral is "partial 16S ribosomal RNA". It matches the Rfam family "Bacterial small subunit ribosomal RNA", at positions 29 to 505 of the family's 1533-position model. The record is from RNAcentral.
AACGAACGCUGGCGGCAUGCCUAACACAUGCAAGUCGAACGAGACCUUCGGGUCUAGUGGCGCACGGGUGCGUAACGCGUGGGAACCUGCCCUUAGGUUCGGAAUAACUCCCCGAAAGGGGUGCUAAUACCGGAUAAUGUCUUCGGACCAAAGAUUUAUCGCCUUUGGAUGGGCCCGCGUUGGAUUAGCUAGUUGGUAGGGUAAAAGCCUACCAAGGCGACGAUCCAUAGCUGGUCUGAGAGGAUGAUCAGCCACACUGGGACUGAGACACGGCCCAGACUCCUACGGAAGGCAGCAGUGGGGAAUAUUGGACAAUGGGCGAAAGCCUGAUCCAGCAAUGCCGCGUGAGUGAUGAAGGCCUUAGGGUUGUAAAGCUCUUUUACCCGGGAUGAUAAUGACAGUACCGGGAGAAUAAGCUCCGGCGAACUCCG